GGACAGGGACAGUCACAAAUCUUUCCAGAGGGUGGUUGUGGAGGGAAGCAGCAAGAUGAGAUGUAGUGCCAAAGGUGGGGAUGGGCGGGCUGUGGCGCGUCCAAAGGGACAGGCUGGGGAAAAGGAGACAAAGUGACAGAGGAGCAGCAGAGUGAUGCAGCGAGGAGGAGCCGGGAGCCACCAACUGGGCAGUUUAGUAAUCCCAUUCUUAACAAUGCUGGACUCUUAUUUCGAAUGGACAAGGUAUCUGAAUGCUCAGAGGAGGAACAUGUGCACGAAUUCCAGGCUUUCUAACUGAAGGCUAGUCCAGAUGGAGGUCCAGGGAGAAGGCCUGCUUCACGCUGGAGAGAUGCAGAAAAUCUGCCAGGAGAGCAAGGCUUUGGAGGAGGUGCAAGGACUUGCCAAAGAGACAUGGGAAAAACUGAGAAGGCACUCGGUUGAGGCUUUCCAAGAUGAGAAAAUCCAAUUAGAUGGAUUCUGGAUGUCAGCAAAUGGAAACAGAAGAUGAAUGCAUAAUUCCACAAAACAUUAUUUUUCUCUGCUUGUUAGAUUAGCCAAUCUAACAAAGGAAUUCUGUUCUUCCCUAUACCAGAAAAUAAAAUGCCAGGA
Manis pentadactyla (Chinese pangolin) is the source of this 609-nucleotide long non-coding RNA. RefSeq lists it as uncharacterized. The transcript is spliced from 4 exons. The record is from RefSeq and is a predicted model, not a curated record. Lineage: Eukaryota; Metazoa; Chordata; Mammalia; Pholidota; Manidae.